GAUAACCUCGGGAAACUGGGGAUAAUACCGGAUAACGCAUAUGUGCUGGAAUGCUUUAUGCGUAAAACGGAUUCGUCCGCCCAAGGAUGGGUCUGCGGCCUAUCAGGUCGUAGUGGGUGUAAUGUACCUACUAGCCAACAACGGGUACGGGUUGUGAGAGCAAGAGCCCGGAGAUGGAUUCUGAGACAUGAAUCCAGGCCCUACGGGGCGCAGCAGGCGCGAAAACUUUACAAUGCGGGAAACCGUGAUAAGGGAACACCGAGUGCCAGCAUCAUAUGCUGGCUGUCCAGAUGUGUAAAGUACAUCUGUUAGCAAGGGCCGGGCAAGACCGGUGCCAGCCGCCGCGGUAACACCGGCGGCCCGAGUGGUGACCGUUAUUAUUGGGUCUAAAGGGUCCGUAGCCGGUUUGGUCAGUCCUCCGGGAAAUCUGAUAGCUUAACUGUUAGGCUUUCGGGGGAUACUGCCAGGCUUGGAACCGGGAGAGGUAAGAGGUACUACAGGGGUAGGAGUGAAAUCUUGUAAUCCCUGUGAGACCACCUGUGGCGAAGGCGUCUUACCAGAACGGGUUCGACGGUGAGGGACGAAAGCUGGGGGCACGAACCGGAUUAGAUACCCGGGUAGUCCCAGCCGUAAACUAUGCUCGCUAGGUGUCAGGCAUGGCGCGACCGUGUCUGGUGCCGCAGGAAAGCCGUGAAGCGAGCCACCUGGGAAGUACGGCCGCAAGGCUGAAACUUAAAGGAAUUGGCGGGGGAGCACAACAACGGGUGGAGCCUGCGGUUUAAUUGGACUCAACGCCGGACAACUCACCGGGGACGACAGCAAAAUGUAGGCCAGGCUGAAGACCUUGCCUGAAUCGCUGAGAGGAGGUGCAU
RNAcentral lists this ribosomal RNA (872 nucleotides) under uncultured archaeon. Its description in RNAcentral is "bacterial SSU rRNA". It matches the Rfam family "Archaeal small subunit ribosomal RNA", at positions 125 to 995 of the family's 1478-position model. The record is from RNAcentral.